RNAcentral lists this ribosomal RNA (322 nucleotides) under uncultured bacterium. RNAcentral's name for it is "bacterial SSU rRNA". It matches the Rfam family "Bacterial small subunit ribosomal RNA", at positions 28 to 334 of the family's 1533-position model. The record is from RNAcentral.
GAUGAACGCUGGCGGCGUGCUUAACACAUGCAAGUCGAACGAAGCACUUAAGUGAAUUUCUUCGGAAUGAAGCUUUUGUGACUGAGUGGCGGACGGGUGAGUAACGCGUGGGUAACCUGCCUCAUACAGGGGGAUAACAGUUAGAAAUGGCUGCUAAUACCGCAUAAGCGCACAGGGCCGCAUGGCCCGGUGUGAAAAACUCCGGUGGUAUAAGAUGGCCUCGCGUCCCAUUAGCUAGUUGGUGAGGUAACGCCCACAAGGCAACGAUCGGUAGCCGGACUGAGAGGUUGAACGGCCACAUUGGGACUGAGACACGGCCCAG